UGGCCUCGCAGCGGUGCGCGCCCCCGUUGCCAGCGUGUUUGCAGUCUCUUCUCCCCUCUCGCGGAUUUUCCAUCUUUUUUUUCUUUCAUUGUGCCAUUUUCCACCCAACCAAGCACACCAUCGCCGUCUGCAGCACCGUGGGCUGCCAUUGCUACUGCCAUGGACGCUGCUGCACCGCCUUCACGACCGACGCCGCAGUUCCGCUACAUGGACGUGUUGAUGGAGAGCAGCAACAACCAUGAAUUAUUAGCACUGGAAACAAUCCGGGAGGCCGGCCAGUCUCGAGAGAAUGCGACCAAGGAAGCCUCACUCAGCCCCAAAGAUACUGCCGCUGCGCGUGAUCGGCAACUCGUGACUCGCGUGCCAACGCCAGAGCGCAUCCGCCGCGCCUCGGCACGCCUUUAUAACGACAUCCAUGCCAUUAUGGAUCGUCACGACGCUCGUACCGGCCGCGAGCUCAAGCUGCGUCGCCGCGGCUCACGAGAGGCGAGCAUUUCGUACCUGGCGGAGCAGCCUCGUAGCCUACACCAGAGGGUGGCUGUCGCUCCUCACACCUCACCCGCGGCGAAGACGGCGCUGCCCAAAGUGCAUCAGUUGUUUGAGGAGUCGCGGCGGGCUCACCUGGCAGAGGCGCAGCAGCAGCGCACAUACUUCCCAUCCUCUAGCAAACCCACCGCUUACUCCCCCAAGAACCCCAGCACGUUCAGCUAUCGAUUCCAGUCGCCUCCGUCGGCCGGCAGCAGCGCGUGAUGCCUCAUCUUUCCCCUCUUCGACCCCUGCGAGAUGUUGCAUUCCGGCCUUGCUCUCCCUCACUGGGACGCGUGCUACUGGACCGGCCGGGAAUGGGGACUGGGAUGACAGCAGGGGAUGCUGUAGGCGAGGGGAGAUGUGAGGUGAGGCGAAAGUGCUGCCAGUAUAUGAGGUGUGCCCUCAACGGAAGUCAAGUGGCGGCUUUCUUGUUUCGACACACAACCACCAACUUUAUGUACAGCAACUCAUGCGCACCAUUGCUCCCUUUCUUCUCCCUUAUCCUCAUCGUCUGUUGCACUCUUUCGCCUGCGCCCUCCCCCUCCCACUCUUCCUCCUCCUCGCCAGAGUCUCCACCUUUCUCUCUCUCUGUCGCUUGCUACUUUACAUGCGUAUGCAGAGGGGGUGAUGCGCCUGCGCCCCCCUCCCCUCUGACCCUCUCUUCCCCCUGCAUAUAUGUGUUCGCUUGCGUACCCCUCGCCGCGCCGUCUUC
This 1240-nucleotide unclassified non-coding RNA is filed under the name Leishmania donovani. Its description in RNAcentral is "gene:LdHU3.13.0090(CDS-product:hypothetical_prote in_conserved)". Lineage: Eukaryota; Euglenozoa; Kinetoplastea; Trypanosomatida; Trypanosomatidae. The record is from RNAcentral.